GGAGGUGAGGUAUUACAUGGCAUUCAAGAGGUCAGGGGUUCGAUUCCCCUCAUCUCCACCA
This 61-nucleotide transfer RNA is filed under the name Dethiobacter sp. Its description in RNAcentral is "tRNA-OTHER". The record is from RNAcentral. Lineage: Bacteria; Bacillati; Bacillota; Dethiobacteria; Dethiobacterales; Dethiobacteraceae.